This is a long non-coding RNA of Vigna angularis (adzuki bean), 2351 nucleotides long. RefSeq lists it as uncharacterized. Lineage: Eukaryota; Viridiplantae; Streptophyta; Magnoliopsida; Fabales; Fabaceae. The record is from RefSeq and is a predicted model, not a curated record. The transcript has 2 exons.
ACAUACUAAUGACGUAAGGCUGAAGUAGAAAUUGACAAAAAUGGCCCUGUCACAGGGAGACUAUUAGGUGGGAUGGGACGAAACCCAUGUGCCCGGUGGGUCCCAUUGAUUGAUUGAGUCAACUCUGUAGCCAUCUGAUUGAAGAAACAGCCUUCUUAUCCUAAUCAAAGACAGAUCCACGUGUAACAUCCGUUGGAUGAAGAUCAAAAGGCGGUGGUGCGUGCGUCUAUUUCUCAGCCUAAUGUACCACAGCACAAUACCUUUUGGUUUGGACGUGACAUAAUCUAUUAAGAACCCACGCAAACGGAUCAAUGGGUUUCUGUCUAUAAUGAUAGAAUUAUUGGGUUUUAAUGAAUGUUGAAGGAAAAAAAUGAAGAAUAUUUAGGAAAAAAGAAGAAGGAAUCUACACCGCUGACUUGUUAUUGUGCUUUUUUCUAUUCUGAUGGCAAAAUCUAUAGUAAAGUGAUUCAGCUGCACAUUUUGUUAGUACAGGGUUAUUUUUUUUUUGGGUGUUUGAAAUCGAUUGAUAUACUGAACUGGGAUAAAAUUGGAAGAUUUGUAACGCAACGUGAUGAAGUUCAAAGAGAUGAUUUAUGAGCAGGGAAUAAAUCGAAAUCUUUGACUAAGACAAAGGGUUGCUAAUAAAGCAGAGAAAGAUUGCAUGAGGUAGAAUUUUUGAAGCGUCUUUUUCUCCUUGUCUUCCUAUUUACUGCAGCGACUCCUAAAUUUCAAUGCGCAUGCAACUGCGAUUGUCCAGUUCAAAAUGUUGACGUUCCUUGUGCGUGGAGUCCACACUAUGCACCACGUUGCCUCGACUUGGAAAAUUCCUUCACAACGUUCUCAAAUAAGCAAGGAGAUGAGCAGACAGGGAAAGGACGUGGAAGAAAGAUAAGAACACCACAUUCGAUACAUGAAAAUGAUGAUGAUUAAUAACUCAAGAGGGGAGUAAACAGUAAAUAUAAAAUGUUAUGAAGAGGAAGUGUUUGAGAAAAUGUCACAGAGGAAGUAAUUGAGAAAAUGUGACAGAAUUAAUAGCAUACGUGUUGUUUUGGGGAUUUUUGUUUGUAUGUGUUGUUUGGGUUGGAUGGUGGUGUUGAUUACUCAAUGAUAAAUGGGUGUGAAAUUGGUGGGGUUAGCUGCACCUUGGGCCAAUCAUCCGCCUCCAUAUCCAUUCACUCCAAUCUAGGUUAAUGCCCCACUACUACUACUACUACACACUAUACGAACCAUCUCUCCCAGUCCAACCCUCAAUAAUAGGGUAAUAAAUCCAAAAAGUUGCCCAUAAAAGCUUGUGUGUUGAGCUUAGUGAGAAAAUAGUUAAUCACCAAGCCACGUUCACAUACUCAGACAAACAAACCCCAUCAAACCCCUACAAUUUUUUCUUUCCCUCUUCCUCUUUAACCCACCAUAAAUCAAUAUGAAAAUUCCAAGAGCUUUGGAAACCGAGUUAGUGGACAUUUUGCCAUUCCCCACAAACAUGCCCUUAACUAUAUUAGACCAACAAUUUCAACUUCCCUUUUCUUUUCUUUUUCUUUCACAUGCAUAUUAUAAAUCAGAAUAAUAAUAAUAAUGCAGAACCAAAAGCUAAAAUCUCGCCUUUAUAUACGACCCAUCAUGUCACCCCUUGUUUGUCCCUAUGCUUACACACUCUCACUCUCUAUUCCAACUCUCAUUUUCUAAGCCUUAGCUUAGCUGUAGUUCCCCCAUUUCCAUUUUCUUCUGCUCUUCACAGCUUUGUCACUCAUCCAUUAUCACUCACAACUUUUUUUUCUUGACACCCCACCAAAAUGGCAUCUGGGACUACCACCAUGUCUUCGAGACUUCGAGGUGUGACGGUGAGAGAUGUUGGCGCCGUCGUGGACGACGGUGGUGUAGGGCAGAAGGGCAUGUCCGUAAAUAUGCAUAAAAGUUGAUGAUGAUGAAGGAAACAACGCAACACAAAAGCUUUGCAAUUGCACUCUCCCGAGUUUCUGGCUCAUCACAAUGUGAAGAAUUGGGAGAGUGUCAUCGUUGCAUCGCGGGGAAUUGAGGGGUGCGGUCCGAAUUACCUUUAACUUUAGGUUCUUAAAUUUUGUAUUUUACUUCUUCUUUCUCACGUAUUUGCCGCUGAUUUUUCUUUAUGUUAAUGUUAUGAUGGAAGAAUCAUGGGAUGUAAGAGAUGCAUACGAGGUUGCUUGUUUGGUUGUGGUGGUUUUGGUCUAAUGGGAGUUUUGUCUUGAGUUUGGGUGGUUUUUAGUUUAGGAACUUAUGCUUCUGGCAUGCAUCACUUACACCCAUCAAUGUAUUUUUUUUUUUCCUUUGUUGUGAGUUUUAUAUAAAGGGAAUGAAUGACUUUGGGUUUCUUAAUUUAA